Molecule: ribosomal RNA, 458 nt
Filed under: uncultured bacterium
Lineage: Bacteria
Description: bacterial SSU rRNA
Rfam family: Bacterial small subunit ribosomal RNA
Source: RNAcentral
UACGGAAGGCAGCAGUGGGGAAUAUUGCACAAUGGGCGCAAGCCUGAUGCAGCCAUGCCGCGUGUAUGAAGAAGGCCUUCGGGUUGUAAAGUACUUUCAGUCGUGAGGAAGGUGUUAAGGUUAAUAACCUUAGCAAUUGACGUUAGCGACAGAAGAAGCACCGGCUAACUCCGUGCCAGCAGCCGCGGUAAUACGGAGGGUGCGAGCGUUAAUCGGAAUUACUGGGCGUAAAGGGCACGCAGGCGGUUAAUUAAGUUGGAUGUGAAAUCCCCGGGCUUAACCUGGGAAUGGCAUUCAAGACUGGUUAGCUAGAGUCUUGUAGAGGGGGUAGAAUUCCAUGUGUAGCGGUGAAAUGCGUAGAGAUGUGGAGGAAUACCGGUGGCGAAAGGCGGCCCCUGGGACAAAGGACUGACGCUCAUGUGCGAAAGCGUGGGGAGCGAAAACAGGGAUUAGAUACC